CCUACGGGAGGCAGCAGUGAGGAAUAGUGGUCAAUGGGCGCGAGCCUGAACCAGCCAAGUAGCGUGAAGGAUGACUGCCCUACGGGUUGUAAACUUCUUUUAUAAAGGAAUAAAGUGAGGCACGUGUGCCGUUUUGUAUGUACUUUAUGAAUAAGGAUCGGCUAACGCCGUGCCAGCAGCCGCGGUAAUACGGAGGAUCCGAGCGUUAUCCGGAUUUAUUGGGUUUAAAGGGAGCGUAGAGGGGUUGUUAAGUCCGUUGUGAAAGGUUGUGGCUCAACCGGAAAAUUGCACUUGAUACUGGCAGUCUUGAGUACAGUUGCGGUCGGCGGAAUUCGUUGUGUAGCGG
This 346-nucleotide ribosomal RNA is filed under the name uncultured bacterium. RNAcentral describes it as "partial 16S ribosomal RNA". It matches the Rfam family "Bacterial small subunit ribosomal RNA", at positions 338 to 681 of the family's 1533-position model. The record is from RNAcentral.